UAGUUGUGACAGCCAGGAAACCGAGAACGGAAUGCCAAUACUGCUUAGGCUUAGAGUUUGAAAGGCAUCUGAUUUCACUGCCAUGUCUUUGAACAGCAGUGCACAGUGCAGUCUUCUUCGUGGCUGAACAGAGCUAAGGUCUUGCUAUGUUGCCUAGACUGGUUUUGAACUCCUGGGCUGAAGCAAUCCUCCCACUUCGGCCUCUCAAAGUGCUGGGAUAUCAGACAUGAGCCACCUGCCAUGCUUGGCCUAUGAGUGUGCCCUGUUGCCAAGGCUGGCCUGUGCUCAAGUGAUCCACCUGCCUUGGCCUCCCAAACUGCUGGGAUCACAGGUGUGAGCCACCAUGCCCAGCCAGCAUAAUAGUACUUCGAAGAUAACGAUUUCCUUUUACAAGGAAUCCUUCAAACUUGAUGAAAAGAAAAAGAUGGAGAGCUAAGCUAUGAGGAUGCAAAGGCAUGAGAAUAAUACAAUGGACUUUGGGGACUCGGAGGGAAAGGGUGGGAGGCGGGUGAGGGAUAAAAGACUACACACUGGGUACAGUGUACACUGCUCAGGUGAUGGGUGCACCAAAAUCUCAGAAACCACCACUGAAGAACUUAUCCAUGUAAUCAAACACAACCUGUUCCCCAAAAACCUGUAGAAAAAAAAUUGUAUACCAUAAAUAUGUAUAAUUUUUGUCAAUAAAAAUUUUUUUAAAGUGA
This 701-nucleotide long non-coding RNA is filed under the name Homo sapiens (human). RNAcentral describes it as "HSALNT0320814". The record is from RNAcentral. Lineage: Eukaryota; Metazoa; Chordata; Mammalia; Primates; Hominidae.